RNAcentral lists this ribosomal RNA (1369 nucleotides) under uncultured bacterium. RNAcentral's name for it is "bacterial SSU rRNA". It matches the Rfam family "Bacterial small subunit ribosomal RNA", at positions 28 to 1381 of the family's 1533-position model. The record is from RNAcentral.
GACGAACGCUGGCGGCGUGCCUAAUACAUGCAAGUAGAACGCUGAAGAGAGGAGCUUGCUCUUCUUGGAUGAGUUGCGAACGGGUGAGUAACGCGUAGGUAACCUGCCUUGUAGCGGGGGAUAACUAUUGGAAACGAUAGCUAAUACCGCAUAACAAUGGAUGACACAUGUCAUUUAUUUGAAAGGGGCAAUUGCUCCACUACAAGAUGGACCUGCGUUGUAUUAGCUAGUAGGUGAGGUAACGGCUCACCUAGGCGACGAUACAUAGCCGACCUGAGAGGGUGAUCGGCCACACUGGGACUGAGACACGGCCCAGACUCCUACGGGAGGCAGCAGUAGGGAAUCUUCGGCAAUGGGGGCAACCCUGACCGAGCAACGCCGCGUGAGUGAAGAAGGUUUUCGGAUCGUAAAGCUCUGUUGUAAGUCAAGAACGAGUGUGAGAGUGGAAAGUUCACACUGUGACGGUAGCUUACCAGAAAGGGACGGCUAACUACGUGCCAGCAGCCGCGGUAAUACGUAGGUCCCGAGCGUUGUCCGGAUUUAUUGGGCGUAAAGCGAGCGCAGGCGGUUUGAUAAGUCUGAAGUUAAAGGCUGUGGCUCAACCAUAGUUCGCUUUGGAAACUGUCAAACUUGAGUGCAGAAGGGGAGAGUGGAAUUCCAUGUGUAGCGGUGAAAUGCGUAGAUAUAUGGAGGAACACCGGUGGCGAAAGCGGCUCUCUGGUCUGUAACUGACGCUGAGGCUCGAAAGCGUGGGGAGCGAACAGGAUUAGAUACCCUGGUAGUCCACGCCGUAAACGAUGAGUGCUAGGUGUUGGAUCCUUUCCGGGAUUCAGUGCCGCAGCUAACGCAUUAAGCACUCCGCCUGGGGAGUACGACCGCAAGGUUGAAACUCAAAGGAAUUGACGGGGGCCCGCACAAGCGGUGGAGCAUGUGGUUUAAUUCGAAGCAACGCGAAGAACCUUACCAGGUCUUGACAUCCCGAUGCUAUUUCUAGAGAUAGAAAGUUACUUCGGUACAUCGGUGACAGGUGGUGCAUGGUUGUCGUCAGCUCGUGUCGUGAGAUGUUGGGUUAAGUCCCGCAACGAGCGCAACCCCUAUUGUUAGUUGCCAUCAUUCAGUUGGGCACUCUAGCGAGACUGCCGGUAAUAAACCGGAGGAAGGUGGGGAUGACGUCAAAUCAUCAUGCCCCUUGUGACCUGGGCUACACACGUGCUACAAUGGUUGGUACAACGAGUUGCGAGUCGGUGACGGCAAGCUAAUCUCUUAAAGCCAAUCUCAGUUCGGAUUGUAGGCUGCAACUCGCCUACAUGAAGUCGGAAUCGCUAGUAAUCGCGGAUCAGCACGCCGCGGUGAAUACGUUCCCGGGCCU